Oncorhynchus nerka (sockeye salmon) is the source of this 238-nucleotide long non-coding RNA. RefSeq lists it as uncharacterized. NCBI's taxonomy places the organism in Eukaryota, Metazoa, Chordata, Actinopteri, Salmoniformes, Salmonidae. The transcript is spliced from 3 exons. The record is from RefSeq and is a predicted model, not a curated record.
UCCAGGCUGGUCUCAGUGCUCUCCACAACAGUCAACGCAGAGGAAGACUACAGGGCCAGGGGAUUGUAUCAGACUCAUGUAGGCUACAGACUCUCAUCAAACUCUGAUUCAGCAUAUCCCCCAAAUACUGCAAAUGGUGUACAGAGAUGUACAGAUCCAGCUGCCCGUCCAGCAGCUGAAGGCCAUAUUGGGCUGCUCUCUGCAGCGCACAUUCUUCUUCUUUCAACUUGUGUUGUAG